This 1757-nucleotide long non-coding RNA is filed under the name Anas zonorhyncha (Eastern spot-billed duck). RNAcentral's name for it is "lncRNA (ENSAZOG00000005246.1)". The record is from RNAcentral. Lineage: Eukaryota; Metazoa; Chordata; Aves; Anseriformes; Anatidae.
UGGGGUUUUUGGGGACACUGGGGACAUUUGGGGACAUUUGGGGUCAUUUAUUUGGGGCCAUUUGGGACCAUUUGGGUGGGUUUGGGGGACAUUUAGGGUGGUUUUGGGGCCAUUUUGGGUGUUUGGGGGGCCAUUUUGGGUGCUUUUGGGGCCAUUUUGGGUGCUUUUGGGGGAUAUUUUGGGAUUUUGGGUUUUUGGGACCAUUUUGGGGCCAUUUUGGGGCCAUUUGGGACCAUUUGGGUGGGUUUGGGGGACAUUUAGGGUGGUUUUGGGGCCAUUUUGGGUGUUUGGGGGGCCAUUUUGGGUGCUUUUGGGGCCAUUUUGGGUGCUUUUGGGGGAUAUUUUGGGAUUUNNNNNNNNNNGACACUGGGGACAUUUGGGGCCAUUUGGGGCCAUUUUGGUGGUUUUGGGGGGACAUUUGGUGGGUUUGGGGGCCAUUUUGGGUGCUUUUGGGGUUAUAUUUUGGGAUUUGGGGUUUUUGGGACCAUUUUGGGGUCAUUUUGGGGCCAUUUGGGACCAUUUGGGUGGGUUUGGGGGACAUUUAGGGUGGUUUGGGGGCCAUUUUGGGUGGUUUUGGGGCCAUUUUGGGUGGUUUUAGGGCCAUUUUGGGUGCUUUUGGGCUUAUAUUUUGGGAUUUUGGGUUUUUGGGACCAUUUUGGGGCAAUUUUGGGGCAAUUUGGGACCAUCCUUGCCCUCCUUCCCCCGCAGGUCCCCCCAGAAGAAGACGCGGCCACCCCGCGGCCCCCGGUGACGUCCCCGCGUCCCCCCCGGGCCACCAAACGUCCCCAAAUUUCCCCAAAUCCCCCCUUGGGGGCCCCAAAACCACCCAAAAAGCCCCGGCUGGCCCCGGGGGGCCGCUGUCCCCAAACGUCCCCAAAUUCGUGUCCCCAAAUGUCCCAAACGACCCCAAAUUCGUGUCCCCAAACGUCCCCAAAUUCGUGUCCCCAAAUGUCCCCAAAUUCGUGUCCCCAAACGUCCCAAAAGUCCCGAACCUCAAUGUCCCCAAAUUCGUGUCCCCAAAUGUCCCAAACGACCCCAAAUUCGUGUCCCCAAACGUCCCCAAAUUCGUGUCCCCAAAUGUCCCCAAAUUCGUGUCCCCAAAUGUCCCAAACGACCCCAAAUUCAUGUCCCCAAACCUCGAGGACCUCCGAUUUGUCCCCGUGUCCCCAAAUGUCCCCAAAUUUGUGUCCCCAAACCUCCUCGAGGUCCUCAAACCCCUCCCCAUGUCCCCAAAUGUCCCAAAUGUCCCCAAAUUUGUGUCCCCAAACCUCCUGGAGGUCCUCCAAGCCAUGUUCUCAACGGUUGAGGGCCUCCAACCCAACCUCGUGUCCCCAAAUGUCCCCAAAUUCGUGUCCCCAAACCUCCUUGAGGUCCUCCAACCCAUCCCAACCUCCUCCAACCUUCUCGAGGUCUUCCAAGCCAUGUUCUCAACGCUUGAGGUCCUCCAACCCAUCCCGACCUCCUCCAACCUCCUUGACCUCCACCCCAUGUCCUCAACCCUCCUUGAGGUCCUCCAACUCUUCUCCUCCAACCUCUUUGAGGUCCUCCAACUCAUCCUCAUGUCCUCCAACCUCCUCGAUCUCCUCCACCUCUUCUCCUCCAACCUCCUUGAGGUCCUCCAACCCAUCCCCACCUCCUCCAACCUCCUCCAACUCUUCUCCUCCAACCUCUUCGAGGUCCUCCAAGCCAUGUUCUCAAAGGUUGAGGUCCUCCAACCCAUCCCAACCUCCUCCAACCUCCUCAACCUCCUCCACCCC